AAAACCAAUGCGGGUUUCGGCCCGUUUUCUUGGUGAUUCAUGAUAACUUUUCCAAUCGCAUGGCCUUGCGCCGGCGAUGUUUCAUUCAAAUUUCUGCCCUAUCAACUGUCGAUGGUAAGGUAGUGGCUUACCAUGGUUGUAACGGGUGACGGAGAAUUAGGGUUCGAUUCCGGAGAGGGAGCCUGAGAAACGGCUACCACAUCUAAGGAAGGCAGCAGGCACGAAAAUUACCCAAUCCCAACACGGGGAGGUAGUGACAAGAAAUAACGAUACGGGGUCUACAUAGGCUUCGCAAUUGGAAUGAGUACAAUUUAAAUCCUUUAACGAGGAUCAAUUGGAGGGCAAGUCUGGUGCCAGCAGCCGCGGUAAUUCCAGCUCCAAUAGCGUAUAUUAAAGUUGUUGCAGUUAAAAAGCUCGUAGUUGGAUUUCGGAACGGGCCAGUUGGUCCGCCGCAAGGUGAGUUACUGACUGGUCUGUUCUUYUUCGSAAAGACUGCGUGUGCUCUUCAUUGASUGGGCGUAGGAUUUACGACGUUUACUUUGAAAAAAUUAGAGUGUUCAAAGCAGGCAAAGCUUGAAUACAUGAGCAUGGAAUAAUGGAAUAGGACUUUGGUCCUAUUUUGUUGGUUUCUAGGACCGAAGUAAUGAUUAAGAGGGACAAUUGGGGGCAUCCGUAUUUCGUUGUCAGAGGUGAAAUUCUUGGAUUUACGAAAGACGAACAACUGCGAAAGCACUUGCCAAGAGUGUUUUCAUUAAUCAAGAACGAAAGUUAGAGGAUCGAAGACGAUCAGAUACCGUCCUAGUUCUAACCAUAAACGAUGUCGACUAGGGAUCAGCGGGCGUUACAGACGACCUCGUUGGCACCUUACGGGAAACCAAAGUUUUUGGAUUCCGGGGGAAGUAUGGUUGCAAAGCUGAAACUUAAAGGAAUUGACGGAAGGGCACCACCAGGAGUGGAGCCUGCGGC
Molecule: ribosomal RNA, 966 nt
Filed under: Bouillonactinia hooperi
Lineage: Eukaryota; Metazoa; Cnidaria; Hydrozoa; Anthoathecata; Hydractiniidae
Description: SSU rRNA
Rfam family: Eukaryotic small subunit ribosomal RNA
Source: RNAcentral